CUCGUUGGUUAGGUCAAAGCAGAAAAAUCUCAUCACCGACGAGACCAGAGAUGAUUGGCAAGGAAGAGCAAACUGAUAAGAACUGUGAUUGGGUUAAAAUGGCGGAUUGAUUACCAAUUGUUGCAGUCACCAUUACAAUCGUGUACAGCGUAAAAGCCUCUCUCCAAUUCACGCGCACAAUUCUAGCCACAAUUAUAAACAACCCUUCUUCUCCUACUCUCGAGACUGCCUUUUUCGUUUUUCCCCCAUGCUGUUUACCUCAUCACCAUCAUCAUCUUCUUCUUGGGGGGACAGAGAUUGUGUUUGGAAGUAGAAUUUCUGCGUUUUUGUCUCUAAAUGGCUGAUGUUUUUAGAUUUUCCUCGCAUUCUUUCUGUUUCCCAUCCACUUCUUUCCCUGCCUCCAUUGCUUCAUCCUGCAAUUCUAUUCAGACUUGUUUUCCACCCAUUCAAAGCUCGGAUAAGAGGUCGACUUCUCUGCCGCGCUACUCUACUAGCUUUGUAAUGCCUCUUUCUUUCACACCCAGAAAGAGGUUGGUAUCUUUCAAGGUACAGGCAGCUGUGGCUGAAAAAGACCAGCCAAAAUGGUGGGAAAAGAGUGCACCAAACAUGAUUGAUAUACAUUCGACACAGGAAUUUUUAACUGCAUUGAGUGAAUCUGGUGAUAGAUUAGUUAUUGUAGAUUUUUACGGAACCUGGUGUGCUUCCUGCAGGGCAUUAUUUCCCCGGCUAUGCAGAACAGCUGAUGAGCACCCUGAGAUUUUAUUCCUGAAAGUCAACUUUGAUGAAAACAAGCAAAUGUGCAAAAGUUUGAAUGUCAAGGUCCUUCCUUAUUUCCAUUUUUAUCGUGGAGCUGAUGGACAAUUGGAGUCCUUCUCAUGCUCACUCGCAAAGUUCCAGAAAAUUAAAGAUGCAAUUAAAAUGCACAACACAGCUCGUUGCAGCAUUGGGCCGCCAAGAGGAGUAGGAGAUCUUGUACUGGAGCCCUCCUUGAGUCCCAAGGACAAACAACAAACAGAAGCUUCUUCAUCAUAGACUUGCUCCCAAAUGCCCAUCGAGGCUUGCAUAUUCUUAAAAUUUAGUCCAGAAUCUGUCAGAUCUCUACUGUACUUUAAGUUACUGCUAGGUAUCAUUCAUAAUGAAACUCUCUUUUACGUCUGCAUGGUCUUGCAUGUCAAAGAAGCGGUAGUUUCGCCGUUCGUGUCGGUCAAUGGCUAAAUUUUGAUGGCUCUGUCGAUUUAAUCUCUAAAUUGUUCAGUGUUUUAGUUACAUUUCAUUACUUUAUUUCUCAACUUUUAAAUGUGAUUUUAUCCUCUAAUCUUUGGUAAUAAUAUAAAUUGAUUUGUUUA
This is an RNA transcript of Cucurbita moschata (crookneck pumpkin), 1346 nucleotides long. It is a transcript of the gene named thioredoxin-like 2, chloroplastic, with no coding region annotated. NCBI's taxonomy places the organism in Eukaryota, Viridiplantae, Streptophyta, Magnoliopsida, Cucurbitales, Cucurbitaceae. The transcript has 6 exons. The record is from RefSeq and is a predicted model, not a curated record.